AUUCCAGCUCCAAUAGCGUAUAUCAAAGUUGUUGCAGUUAAAAAGCUCGUAGUUGAAUUUCGGGAUCAAUUUAUCGGUCGUGCCAAUGGUAUGAACUGGUACAAUUGGUUUCUCCCUUCUGACGAAGCAUGAUGUCAUUACUUUGGUGUCGUGGGGAAUCAGGACUGUUACUUUGAAAAAAUUAGAGUGUUUAAAGCAAGCAUUAGCUUGAAUACAUUAGCAUGGAAUAAUGAAAUAGGACGUUUGAUCCUAUUUCGUUGGUUUCUAGGAUCGACGUAAUGAUUAAUAGGGAUAGUUGGGGGCAUUAGUAUUCAAUUGUCAGAGGUGAAAUUCUUGGAUUUAUUGAAGACUAACUACUGCGAAAGCAUUUGCCAAGGAUGUUUUCAUUAAUCAAGAACGAAAGUUAGGGGAUCGAAGACGAUCAGAUACCGUCGUAGUCUUAACCAUAAACUAUGCCGACUAGGGAUCGGAUGAUGUUAAUUUUUUAAUGACUCAUUCGGCGCCUUACGGGAAGCCAAAGUGUUUGGGUUCCGGGGGGAGUAUGGUCGCAAGGCUGAAACUUAAAGGAAUUGACGGAAGGGCACCACCAGGGGUGGAGCCUGCGGCUUAAUUUGACCCAACACGGGGAAACUCACCAGGUCCAGACAUAGUAAGGAUUGACAGAUUGAGAGCUCUUUCUUGAUUCUAUGGGUGGUGGUGCAUGGCCGUUCUUAGUUGGUGGAGUGAUUUGUCUGGUUAAUUCCGAUAACGAACGAGACCUUAACCUGCUAAAUAGCUAGGCUUAGCAUUGCUAGGUCGUCAGCUUCUUAGAGGGACUAUCGGUGUUUAACCGAUGAAGUUUGAGGCAAUAACAGGUCUGUGAUGCCCUUAGGUGUUCUGGGCCGCACGCGCGCUACACUGAUGAAGUCAACGAGUUCACUCCCUUUGUCGGAAGACAUGGGUAAUCUUUUGAAACUUCAUCGUGCUGGGGAUAGAGCAUUGCAAUUAUUGCUCUUAAACGAGGAAUCCCUAGUAAGUACAAGUCAUCAGCUUGUGCUGAUUACGUCCCUGCCCUUUGUACACACCGCCCGUCGCUACUACCGAUUGAAUGGCUUAGUGAGGACUUCGGAUUGAGCUUCGGAAGCUGUAAAAGGCAUCCGAUUUUUAAAAAGUUGUUCAAACUUGGUCAUUUAGAGGAAGUAAAAGUC
This 1187-nucleotide ribosomal RNA is filed under the name metagenome. Its description in RNAcentral is "SSU rRNA". It matches the Rfam family "Eukaryotic small subunit ribosomal RNA", at positions 582 to 1790 of the family's 1831-position model. The record is from RNAcentral.